This 467-nucleotide ribosomal RNA is filed under the name uncultured bacterium. RNAcentral describes it as "partial 16S ribosomal RNA". It matches the Rfam family "Bacterial small subunit ribosomal RNA", at positions 29 to 507 of the family's 1533-position model. The record is from RNAcentral.
ACGAACGCUGGCGGCGUGCUUAACACAUGCAAGUCGAACGGAAAGGCCCUGCUUUUGUGGGGUGCUCGAGUGGCGAACGGGUGAGUAACACGUGAGUAACCUGCCCUUGACUUUGGGAUAACUUCAGGAAACUGGUGCUAAUACCGGAUAGGAGCUCCUGCUGCAUGGUGGGGGUUGGAAAGUUUCGGCGGUUGGGGAUGGACUCGCGGCUUAUCAGCUUGUUGGUUGGGUAGUGGCUUACCAAGGCUUUGACGGGUAGCCGGCCUGAGAGGGUGACCGGCCACAUUGGGACUGAGAUACGGCGCAGACUCCUACGGGAGGCAGCAGUGGGGAAUAUGGCACAAUGGGCGGAAGCCUGAUGCAGCAACGCCGCGUGAGGGAUGACGGCCUUCGGGUUGUAAACCGCUUUCGCCUGUGACGAAGCGUGAGUGACGGUAAUGGGUAAAGAAGCACCGGCUAACUACGUG